AGAGGUCUGAAUGGCAAUGCAGAUUGACAAGGAUCGGGGGUUUCUUUUUCUAAAAUGUAAAUGAAGUUCCCAUGGACUGAGUCCUGUCCCAAAACAUACAGGGAUGAAAAUGAAUUCGAGGCGACAGAGGCAGAUGUAGCUGUAAAUAACCACUGCAUCCACUUAAACUGCCUUCCCCUAUCUCUACCCCCCACUCCCCGCCCCCCACUCCCUCCUUAACCAGAUGUAGCUGAAUGGGGAGCCCUCUUUGCAAAUAUGGGUUACAGGCGUCUCCUAGCGGCCGCAGAAGUUCACUACAAGCAGGUUGCUGCUCGCAAGAGCCCUGGCUAGGGAAAGAUAAGACGCUUCUUUCCAGGCUCUGCUUCUUUCUCCUGAUUUUCAAGACCUCUGAAGAGAUCGUUCAGCCGCUUGUGGAAAAAAAAAAAAAAAAAAAUUGCCUAUGCGCUUCCGGAAUAAACUGCGCUUAUUGUGAUCCCAGUCUCCGCGGCUGUUGCUCGACCGGAACCGAACUACUGCACGGAACUUAUCCUAAGGAAAAUGGAUUUGAUGAAUGGAAGUGACAAUGAAUAAAAAGAACAGAACCUAAGGGAAAAUAUCUCUGCUUCUUUGAUAAUGGGUGAUGUUUCUUUCUGAUAAUUGGAUGAACCCUAUUUAUAAAUAUUUCUCAAUGGUUAAAAAAAAGGACAUGCUCUGUCUGGUAUUAGUAACAAAUUCCUAAUUAUUUAGAGAAAUUGAAAGACAGGACCAAGGUGUCAAGAGUCAGGCCCCGAACUGGGACAUGAAUAUCUAGGGUUACACAGAUCUUCCAAGACUCCAAAGCAGAAGUUGCAGCCUAACAGCGGCCAAGAAGGUUAAGAAAUCAAGUGCUUCUGCUGAUGCCAGUCAUAAAGGGAGAGACCAACUAGCCUCUAGACAACAAAAAUCAAGUUACCUGGUGUAUCCCUUCUGUAUGAGAAAUCAACCAUCCCUGACAAAGCAGCAUAAGAUAGAAAUAGCUGUGAGGAUUCCAUUAUUGAAAAAGACAACAGAAGCAGAAGAAGCUUGACCAUAAGGGACUCAAGUUCCUAUCCAAGAUAGGCAACCCUUCCUCUAACAAGCCAGACUAAACUAAAAGCUCCAUAUCUGAUUUUGAACCUGACUGGUUGCAACUUAGAGGAUGAAGCUUCCAAAAGACAGAAAUGAAGGACUCCAUUUAAAACUUUAGCCUAGAUUUCAGUUGAUCCACCAGAUAAGUCAGAUAAAAUUGUGGAGUUCCCUCCAAAUUAGCCAAUUCCACAGCUGGGGAGAGCAAUAGCAGCAAUAGCAACAAUAGCAGCAGUGACUGUCCCUAAAGUAGGGGAAGAUAAUCUCAUCUUCAGGGGCCAAAGUAACCACCGGGAACAGCAGUUCAGACUCAGAGAUCUUCAGUAGUAGAAAGGAUGAACUUUCACCAUCAAGCAAAUGAAUCUGAAAUGGGGAAUGCAGCCCUUUCUAAACCCAUCUUGGCCAAAAAUAUUCAAAGCCAAGAAUGGCUGUCUACUUCAACCCAUGCAGAUUCAGUGAAGAGAAGAAAACCCCAAAACUAAAAAGAGCUCUAUCCUAGUGGCCAGGGAAUUUUGCCCUCCACCCUCCCACAAUGAGAAGUCAAGUCCUCCCAGGGAGGGUGAAGAAAAGGAGAAGGAUCCUUCAGCCAAGCCAAUCUCUGGGAAGAAGGGAGAAAUGCUACCUCUGGCCAAGAAGUCACUGCCCCAAAAGUGAAGAAGUAAAAGCCUCAGACUCCAAAAAUGGUUCUCAAAGCAAGGAAGAGAAAAAGGCAUCCUCUCCUUUAUAGAAAAUUAAGAAGAAUGAGAUGGAUUCUCAGGAUAAUGGCAAUUCCUUUGAUGUCAAGCAGGGUGCAUCUGGAGAUUAGGGAGAAAAAGCCAACAAGUUCUUGAAAUUCACCAAAAGCAAGUCUUUUUGACAUGAGAGGGUCAAGAAGGAGUUGGCAGACACUGGGAGAGUGCCCUAUCCAUCCAAGUGAAUUCUGUUAAAUUCGAGAAGAGUAACCUCAUUUCUAGAGGCUGGUACCCAGAGCCCAGCUCUGUUUGCAGAAUCAGGAAGCUGGAGCUAAUGACCAACCCUUCAUCCAUAGUCUGAACUUGAAUGAGGACAGGUUUUCUAUGAGGAUCUUUUGGGAAGUGGUAGUAGAGCAAAGAAAUAUGAAAGAAUUCUCUUGGUAGUGGGUUGCUUGGUUUUCCCUUCACUUCUCUGAAAUCCAGAUAUAGCUCAACCUAACUUGUUAAGGUCCUGAAAGGCUGUAUGUGAAGCAAAAAUGUGAAAAUUUAAGUUUAAUCAUAUAUUCCUAUUAACUAACAUUAUAGCUUGCAGAAAUUCAUUUCCACAGGUGACAUUUUUGCUUCAUAGAUCAUGGUAAAAGACACAUUUGAGAAACCUUGAUAUCUAUGGACUCAGUUAUAGAUUCUGUCAUUUUUUGGGGGGUGGGUGAAGGUUAAGGGUACAACCAGUUUUAGGAGACGGUCACUCCUAAUGUAGUUAUGGGAGGGAUGAAUUUUUCCAUAACAAUCCAGUGAAACCAUCAACUCAGUCCUAAAGAAGUAAUAGUGUCCUGCAUUUAUACCAUCAAAAUCAUAGAACCUUGAAAUUGAGAAAUAAUUUUCUUUUCAGUAAGAGAAUACUUAUUAGUUCACACAUUCUGUAUAUUUAUAAUAUUCUGCAAGCUUCACAGAGAACCAACAAAUGGGCAACAGACAAUAAUCCUUCCCUGGUUAAUUUAUUCCAUCAAGAGUUUGACCAUCCCUAUUUCACAAGAUCUCCAAACUAUAAAGUUUUUGAUCCACAUGUGAUUUCAUAAUUAAAUAUAGGGGUCAUACAAUUUUGAUUUAUUAUUAGUGAAUGUUUGAUUUGUGUAUCCAUUUUAUGUACCUAUUUGCCUGGAGUCAAGUAAAAAUUUCUUCAGGAAAAUGGGUUGGAAGUAGAAAAGGUUAAAAUCUUGAAAAUCCAAACUUGCCCUUCUUCUUUCACAGAUGAGGGAAAGAAGUGUCACUGAGAGACUAAGUAACUGGACAAAGAUCAGCUAGAUAAUAAACAUACAAUAAUUUACCUCGAGUCCUCUUACUUCAAAUUUGCUGUACCAUACUACCUCCCAUUUCUUCAAGUAUUCAGACAAACUCACUGGCCAAAAAAGCCCUAUGAAUGUACUCCUCUGAAUGUCAUUUAGUUGAACAUUGGAUCAUUGUAUAAUGAAGUUCAAAGGUCAUUUUUCUUCAUCCUGAAAUAUUGUAAUAGAGUAUUGUUGAAUGUAGGCUGGGGACUCAAAUAUGUCCUGAUAAUAAUAAUCUUGCUGUCACCCAAUUCUCCCUUAGUGUAACAUUGAUUAAAUAUUUAAUGUGGUCCAGUGAUUUCUUGACAUCCCCAGACUAUUUGUUAUGCCACAGUUCUCAGUUUCCAUAAUUCUCCCGACCCAGUCCUGACUCAGUUUCCCUGUUUCUCUGAUCUGCAAAACUUCCCCUCUUUCUUUAUCAGAAUACCUGAUAAGGAUAAAAGAUCUUAUGUUUUAGAAUAUCAGAAUUCCUCUCUCCAUCCCAAAAUAUUGGAAUAUCAGAUAUUGUCUUAUCAAGAUGCCUCUCCCCAUGUCCAGGGUAACUCCCCUUGAAUAUGUCAUCCCAUCUCUGAGGUUCACCCCACCCUGUCAGAGUUCCGGUCUGGCUCUCAGUACCCUAAGUCCAUCCCAACUCAGUCUACCCCCUGCUUCUGAACCACAUGUUUGAGAACUCACAUUGUUUGCUGGAUUCCUGGAGACGGUAGUCUCAUUCAGUCCUGGGACCAAACCAUGGAUCCAUUUGAUCCCAGUAUAUCUCUCCAUUUAAUAAACUAUUAAAUACUCUCUAAUCUCUAUCUUGCUCAUUUUCUCCAGCAUUACAUAUUAACAUCAUUCUUUUAAUUGAACAGUCUAAUAAAUAUUGAGAAAUCUUUUUUUUUUAAUUUCUUUCAUUUCCUUCUGAAAAGAAAUUAUUCUUUGAUAAGGAGAAGAAGGUAUAAAACUUGUUGGAAUCAUUAAUUUGGAGGGGCAGAGUGGGAGCUGGAGAAAACAUUUUCAGUAGAAGAUUCCUCAAUAUAAUUAUUAUAAUUGAUAUAUGUAGUGAAUUGACUAAGUAUGAACUAGUGUGGGGAUGGGAGAUUGUUGUAACCGAAGUUCAUUCUGCAACUGGUUCAGUUGAUAUUGGUGGAAAUGAGAAGCAAUUCAUCAGAAUGUUAUUUUCAUUGGUCCCUUAAUUGUCCAUGAAAAUUCAGUCCUUGAAAAUGCCAUCUAGAGAGAGAAUUUAUGGAGACUAAAUGUGGAUCAAAGCAUACUAUUUUCACCUUUGUUGUUGUUGUUGUUUGUUUGCUUGCUUUUUCCUUCUUAUGGUUUACCCCUUUUGUUCUGAUUUUUCUUUCAUGAAAUGACUAAUACAGAAAUAUGUUUAAAAUGAUUAUUUAUGUAUAACAUAUCAAAUUGCUUGCUGUCUUGGGGUAAUUGAAGAAGGGAAAAAUUGGAAUUCAAAAUCUUACAAAAAUGAGUGUGGGAAAUUAUCUUUACAUAUAAUUGGAAAACUUAAAUACUAUUGAAUUUUUAAAAAUCUAGCCUUGGUUUGUGUCUUUGCGCAGAUAAUUAUUUGUAAUAUUUGUAAUUCAUACAUUAAUUAAUGCAUAAUCCUACAUAUAUAUAUAUUUGCCAAAAUAUGAUCCAAAAAUGACUUUUAAUGAGCUAAACUUUCUGUCUUAUUUCACUAUUUUCUAAACAGGUAGUUUCUUUUUCCCCAUAGCUAAGAGUGAAUUUAUAUCUUGACUGUAGUUAAUGUGUUAAUCACAAAUAAUUCUUAUCUGCUCAAUAAUAAGAUUUCCUAAGACAAAAAUGAAUAAAUGAAUGAUCAAAUUGCAUGAACGUUUAUGAAACACCUAAGGAUAUGCCAGGCACUCUGUAAGGCACAGGGGAUAGAAAGACAAUAAGGGAAAUAAUAAAUGACUAAUUGGUAUCAUUCUUUUAAUUAUUUUUAAAAAAGAAAUCCUACUUCUCUCUUGAAUUUUUUUUUUAUAUUAAGCUAAUGAUGUGACUCUGUUUUUGUGUGUGUAAACAAGUUUAUGCAUGUGUGGGCUUGUGUAUAUAUGUAUGUGUCUAGAAGUGGGAUGUUAGUAGUGGGCCAAAUGUGACUCAGAGAUUCUUUCUAGAUUAAGGAAAACAACAGCUGCCAUUUCAGGACCAUAAGCCCUGGAACCCCCAGUGAAGUCAUUUCUAGCCUGCUGAGUUGAAAAAGUUUAAAGGUCUAUUGUAAAAGAGACAAGAAUUCUAUUCAUUAAUUAGACUAGUCUGAGACUACUUUGUAUUUGCAACAAUGAAUAACCUUUCUUUCCAGGGGUGCAUAGUUAAACCCUUAAGCUAAUUUGAUUUUCUGUGCCUGGUUCCACUUAACUUUCAUGUUUCACCUUUAUAAAUUUAUUUGCAUUGGACCAAUUGUGGUAUAAUGUUUUGACCCUUCUUUCUGUUUGAUAAGAAAGUGAAGAAUAAUUUCUUUGUGAAUUAACAUUCCCAAAAGGGGAACUAUGAGCAGAACAAGUGGAGGUUCACCUUGGCUGCAACUCUUCCACCCCCAGAAAUCAUUUCGUGAUUUCCAUGAUUUUCAAAUGGAAAAUAAAAUUCUAUACAUUCAUAA
Antechinus flavipes (yellow-footed antechinus) is the source of this 5666-nucleotide long non-coding RNA. RefSeq lists it as uncharacterized. The transcript is spliced from 5 exons. NCBI's taxonomy places the organism in Eukaryota, Metazoa, Chordata, Mammalia, Dasyuromorphia, Dasyuridae. The record is from RefSeq and is a predicted model, not a curated record.